Molecule: unclassified non-coding RNA, 142 nt
Filed under: uncultured fungus
Lineage: Eukaryota; Fungi
Description: sequence contains ITS1
Source: RNAcentral
UUAUUUCUUGUAUUUAUUCAGACACAAAGACUGAGUAAGGCAUAAAAGCGGCGCCGAGGCGCCGAAGCACAUCUUGCUUCCACAGGUUUGCAAGGUUGAAGGCCAUUCAGUAAUGAUCCCUCCGCAGGUUCACCUACGGAGA